CCAUCCACUUGUCAAUAGAGGAUUCAGGAUUAAACCCUUCGAUUUCAGGACUUUGUAGUUUGACAAGCAAUAAGUUGUCUGGUACGCCUACUUGUCUUCAUUCAUUUCAUUUGUGAAAAUGUUGUCUCGCAUGUCACACUUGUUGGAGGAAUGCAAUUCAACAUCAUCAUUGGGAAAUCUUUGUCAUACACAUCAGGCCAUGAUAAAGUGUGAAGUCUUUCCUUAUACCU
Molecule: long non-coding RNA, 230 nt
Filed under: Mytilus galloprovincialis (Mediterranean mussel)
Lineage: Eukaryota; Metazoa; Mollusca; Bivalvia; Mytilida; Mytilidae
Source: RNAcentral